This 749-nucleotide ribosomal RNA is filed under the name uncultured Mogibacterium sp. Its description in RNAcentral is "bacterial SSU rRNA". It matches the Rfam family "Bacterial small subunit ribosomal RNA", at positions 28 to 776 of the family's 1533-position model. The record is from RNAcentral. Lineage: Bacteria; Bacillati; Bacillota; Clostridia; Peptostreptococcales; Anaerovoracaceae.
GAUGAACGCUGGCGGCGUGCCUAAUACAUGCAGGUCGAGCGAGAAGCUUGGAAAUGACGCUUCGGUUGAUUUUCCAAGCGGACAGCGGCGGACGGGUGAGUAACGCGUAGGCAACCUGCCCCUGACAGAGGGAUAGCCAUUGGAAACGAUGAUUAAAGCCUCAUGACACCGUAGUAGCACAUGCUACAUCGGUCAAAGAUUUAUCGGUCAGGGAUGGGCCUGCGUCUGAUUAACUGGUUGGUGAGGUAACGGCUCACCAAGGUGACGAUCAGUAGCCGACCUGAGAGGGUGAUCGGCCACAUUGGAACUGAGACACGGUCCAAACUUCUACGGAAGGCAGCAGUAGGGAAUCUUGCACAAUGGGCGAAAGCCUGAUGCAGCAACGCCGCGUGAAGGAUGAAGGCCUUCGGGUUGUAAACUUCUGUUCUAAGGGAAGAAAGAAAUGACGGUACCUUAGGAGCAAGCCCCGGCUAACUACGUGCCAGCAGCCGCGGUAAUACGUAGGGGGCAAGCGUUAUCCGGAAUUAUUGGGCGUAAAGAGUGCGUAGGUGGUUACCUAAGCGCAAGGUUUAAAUUAGAGGCUCAACCUCUACAUGCCUUGCGAACUGGGCUACUUGAGUGCAGGAGGGGAAAGCGGAAUUCCUAGUGUAGCGGUGAAAUGCGUAGAUAUUAGGAGGAACACCGGCGGCGAAGGCGGCUUUCUGGACUGUAACUGACACUGAGGCACGAAAGCGUGGGUAGCAAACAGG